RNAcentral lists this ribosomal RNA (454 nucleotides) under Dermacentor andersoni. Its description in RNAcentral is "16S ribosomal RNA". The stretch from base 309 to 454 matches the Rfam family "Bacterial large subunit ribosomal RNA", at positions 2473 to 2619 of the family's 2925-position model. The record is from RNAcentral. Lineage: Eukaryota; Metazoa; Arthropoda; Arachnida; Ixodida; Ixodidae.
CUGCUCAAUGAUUUUUUAAAUUGCUGUGGUAUUUUGACUAUACAAAGGUAUUGUAAUAAGAUUUUAAUUGAAUGCUAAGAGAAUGGAAUUUCAGGGAAAAACUGUUUUAAACUUAAAAAUUAAAUUUAUUUUAAUUUGUGAAGAAACAAUUAUUUAAAUUAAGGACAAGAAGACCCUAAGAAUUUUAAAGAUAAUAAUUUUAAUAUUAAAAUUAUUAUCUUUUGGUUGGGGCAACUAAAAAAGAUUAUAAACUUUUUAUUUAAUAAAAUGAUCCAUUAUUAAUGAUAAUUUGAUAAAAAUACUCUAGGGAUAACAGCGUAAUAAUUUUUGAUAGAACAUAUAGACAAAAUAGUUUGCGACCUCGAUGUUGGAUUAGGAUACUUUUUUAAUGAAGAUGUUAAAAAAAGAAGUUUGUUCAACUUUUAAAGUCCUACUUGAUCUGAGUUCAGACCGG